RNAcentral lists this ribosomal RNA (119 nucleotides) under uncultured bacterium. RNAcentral describes it as "partial 16S ribosomal RNA". It matches the Rfam family "Bacterial small subunit ribosomal RNA", at positions 1419 to 1532 of the family's 1533-position model. The record is from RNAcentral.
ACCAGAAGUAGAAUAGUCUACCCUUUAGGGAGGGCGUUUACCACGGUGUGCUUCAUGAACUGGGGUUGAAGUCGUAACAAGGUAGCCGUAGGGGAACCUGUGGCCUGGAUCACCUCCUU